GCGUACACAAUCUACCUUAUAGAGAAGGACAGCCCUGGGAAACUGGGAUUAAUACUUCAUGUUCUUAUAAAGUGGCAUCACUUAAUAAGCAAAGCUUCGGUGCUAUAAGAUGAGUGUGCGUUCCAUUAGAUAGUUGGUAAGGUAACGGCUUACCAAGUCGAUGAUGGAUAGGGGGCGUGAGAGCGUGAUCCCCCACACGGGUACUGAGACACGGACCCGACUCCUACGGGAGGCAGCAGUAAGGAAUAUUGGACAAUGGAGGCAACUCUGAUCCAGCCAUCCCGCGUGCAGGAUGACGGC
This 300-nucleotide ribosomal RNA is filed under the name uncultured bacterium. RNAcentral describes it as "bacterial SSU rRNA". It matches the Rfam family "Bacterial small subunit ribosomal RNA", at positions 115 to 415 of the family's 1533-position model. The record is from RNAcentral.